GAGUUUGAUCAUGGCUCAGGAUGAACGCCAGCGACAGGCCUAACACAUGCAAGUCGAGGGGCAGCACAAGGUAGCAAUACUGAGGUGGCGACCGGCGCACGGGUGAGUAACGCGUAUGCAACCUGCCUGUAACAGGGGAAUAGCCUCUUGAAAGAGAGAUUAAUGCCGCAUAAUACGAGAUUCGGGCAUCCGGAUUUAGUUAAACAUUUAUGGGUUACAGAUGGGCAUGCGUUUCAUUAGGUAGUUGGUGAGGUAACGGCUCACCAAGCCGACGAUGAAUAGGGGUUCUGAGAGGAAGGUCCCCCACACUGGUACUGAGACACGGACCAGACUCCUACGGGAGGCAGCAGUGAGGAAUAUUGGUCAAUGGACGCAAGUCUGAACCAGCCAAGUCGCGUGAAGGAUGAAGGUAUUAUGUAUUGUAAACUUCUUUUGUCAGGGAAUAAUGGGUGUCACGUGUGACACAGAGGAAUGUACCUGACGAAUAAGCAUCGGCUAACUCCGUGCCAGCAGCCGCGGUAAUACGGAGGAUGCGAGCGUUAUCCGGAUUUAUUGGGUUUAAAGGGUGCGUAGGCGGUUUGUUAAGUCAGUGGUGAAAGUUUGCGGCUCAACCGUAAAAUUGCCAUUGAAACUGGCGAACUUGAGUACAGUAGAGGUAGGCGGAAUUCGUGGUGUAGCGGUGAAAUGCUUAGAUAUCACGAAGAACUCCGAUUGCGAAGGCAGCUUGCUGGACUGUAACUGACGCUGAGGCACGAAAGCGUGGGGAUCAAACAGGAUUAGAUACCCUGGUAGUCCACGCCGU
This 802-nucleotide ribosomal RNA is filed under the name uncultured bacterium. RNAcentral's name for it is "bacterial SSU rRNA". It matches the Rfam family "Bacterial small subunit ribosomal RNA", at positions 9 to 803 of the family's 1533-position model. The record is from RNAcentral.